CGCGAAUGGCUCAUUACAACAGCUAACAAAUCUACUUGAUCUUGACACAAUCCUACUUGGAUAACUGUGGUAAUUCUAGAGCUAAUACAUGCAUUAAAGCUCUGACCUUCGGGGAAGAGUGCAUUUAUUAGAACAAAACCAAGCGGCUUCGGCUGUUUUCGGUUGACUCAUAGUAACUGAGCUGAUCGCAUGGUCUUGCACCGGCGACGUGUCCUUCGAGUAUCUGCCGUAUCAACUUUCGAUGGUAGUGUAUCUGACUACCAUGGUGAUCACGCGUAACGGAGAAUAAGGGUUCGACUCCGGAGAGUUCGCCUGAGAAAUCGCGAACACAUCUAAGGAAGGCAGCAGGCGCGAAAAUUACCCACUCUCAGCACGAGGAGGUAGUGACGAAAAAUAACGAGACCGUUCUCUUAUGAGGCCGGUCAUCGGAAUGGGUACAAUUUAAACCCUUUAACGAGUAUCUAUGAGAGGGCAAGUCUGGUGCCAGCAGCCGCGGUAAUUCCAGCU
RNAcentral lists this ribosomal RNA (507 nucleotides) under Eucephalobus striatus. Its description in RNAcentral is "SSU rRNA". It matches the Rfam family "Eukaryotic small subunit ribosomal RNA", at positions 88 to 590 of the family's 1831-position model. Lineage: Eukaryota; Metazoa; Nematoda; Chromadorea; Rhabditida; Cephalobidae. The record is from RNAcentral.